RNAcentral lists this ribosomal RNA (253 nucleotides) under uncultured bacterium. RNAcentral describes it as "partial 16S ribosomal RNA". It matches the Rfam family "Bacterial small subunit ribosomal RNA", at positions 524 to 776 of the family's 1533-position model. The record is from RNAcentral.
UACGUAGGGGGCAAGCGUUGUCCGGAAUCAUUGGGCGUAAAGAGCGUGUAGGCGGCUUGGUAAGUCCGCUGUGAAAGUCCAGGGCUCAACCCUGGAAAGCCGGUGGAAACUGUCAAGCUUGAGUCCGGAAGAGGCGAGUGGAAUUCCUGGUGCAGCGGUGAAAUGCGCAGAUAUCAGGAGGAACACCAAUGGCGAAGGCAGCUCGCUGGGACGGUACUGACACUGAGACGCGAAAGCGUGGGGAGCAAACAGG